This 1443-nucleotide ribosomal RNA is filed under the name metagenome. Its description in RNAcentral is "bacterial LSU rRNA". It matches the Rfam family "Bacterial large subunit ribosomal RNA", at positions 1201 to 2527 of the family's 2925-position model. The record is from RNAcentral.
AUUGGUGUCCAGGUGUGUGGAUGGGUAGGGGAGCGUCGUGCAGCGUGUGAAGCAGCAGAGUGAUCUAGUUGUGGAUGCUGCACGAGUGAGAAUGCAGGCAUGAGUAGCGAAUGACGGGUGAGAAACCCGUCCGCCGAAUGAUCAAGGGUUCCAGGGUCAAGCUAAUCUGCCCUGGGUAAGUCGGGACCUAAGGCGAGGCCGACAGGCGUAGUCGAUGGACAACGGGUUGAUAUUCCCGUACCGGCAUUAACACGACCCGACCGAGGUCACUGAUGCUAAAACCGAGAAGCUAGGCGGCCUUCGGGCCAAGUAGUGGAUCUGUUGACCCGAGGUGGUAUUAGGUGCACUAAGGAGUGACGCAGGAGGGCAGUCCAUCCGCGGCGAUGGUAGGCGCAAGCUGAUCCGCGGGCAAGGUGGUAGGGCGAGGCAUAGGCAAAUCCGUGUCUCACAUAGCCUGAGAACCGAGGCGGACCCGUUCAGGGGAAGUGGAUAUCCCAUGCUGCCAAGAAAAACUUCGUAGUGAGUGUUAGAGCCGCCCGUACCCCAAACCGACACAGGUGAUCAGGUAGAGAAUACCAAGGCGAUCGAGUGAACCAUGGUUAAGGAACUCGGCAAAAUGCCCCCGUAACUUCGGGAGAAGGGGGGCCGGAUGCGUUACCUCACUUGCUGGGGGAAGCGUUGAUGGCCGCAGAGACCAGGCCCAAGCGACUGUUUACUAAAAACACAGGUCCGUGCGAAGAAGUAAUUCGAUGUAUACGGACUGACGCCUGCCCGGUGCUGGAACGUUAAGGGGACAGGUUAGCUGGUUUAGGCCGGCGAAGCUUUGAACUUAAGCGCCAGUAAACGGCGGUGGUAACUAUAACCAUCCUAAGGUAGCGAAAUUCCUUGUCGGGUAAGUUCCGACCUGCACGAAUGGCGUAACGACUUGGGCGCUGUCUCAACCAUGGACUCGGCGAAAUUGCAUUACUAGUAAAGAUGCUCGUUACGCGCAGCAGGACGGAAAGACCCCGGGACCUUUACUACAACUUGGUAUUGGUGGUCGGUACAACUUGUGUAGGAUAGGUGGGAGACUGUGAAAUCCGGACGCCAGUUCGGGUGGAGUCAUCGAUGAAAUACCACUCUGGUUGUUCUGGCUGUCUAACUUCGGUCCAUUAUCUGGAUCAGGGACAGUGCCUGGUGGGUAGUUUGACUGGGGCGGUCGCCUCCUAAAAGGUAACGGAGGCGCUCAAAGGUUCCCUCAGCCUGGUUGGCAAUCAGGUGUCGAGUGUAAGUGCACAAGGGAGCUUGACUGUGAGACAGACAUGUCGAGCAGGGACGAAAGUCGGAACUAGUGAUCCGGCGGUGGCAUGUGGGAGCACCGUCGCUCAACGGAUAAAAGGUACCCCGGGGAUAACAGGCUGAUCUUCCCCAAGAGUCCAUAUCGACGGGAUGGUUUGGCACCCC